Molecule: ribosomal RNA, 378 nt
Filed under: Falcomonas sp. PR-2015
Lineage: Eukaryota; Cryptophyceae; Pyrenomonadales; Chroomonadaceae
Also listed under: 1 other name
Description: LSU rRNA
Rfam family: Bacterial large subunit ribosomal RNA
Source: RNAcentral
GAAGCUUUACUGUAUCUUGGAAUUGGGUUUGGGCCUUGCUUGCGCAGGAUAGGUGGGAGGCUUUGAAGAUAUUCUUGCGGGAAUAUUGGAGCCAAUGGUGAGAUACCACUCUAGCAUGGCUAAAAUUCUAACUUUGAACCGUUAUCCGGUCGAAGAACAGUUUCAGGUGGGCAGUUUGACUGGGGCGGUCGCCUCCUAAAAGGUAACGGAGGCGUGCAAAGGUUCCCUCAGGCUGGUCGGACAUCAGUCGUAGAGUGUAAAGGCAUAAGGGAGCUUGACUGCGAGACCUACAAGUCGAGCAGAGACGAAAGUCGGCCUUAGUGAUCCGACGGUUCCGAGUGGAAGGGCCGUCGCUCAACGGAUAAAAGUUACUCUAGG